This is a long non-coding RNA of Nycticebus coucang (slow loris), 303 nucleotides long. RefSeq lists it as uncharacterized. The record is from RefSeq and is a predicted model, not a curated record. NCBI's taxonomy places the organism in Eukaryota, Metazoa, Chordata, Mammalia, Primates, Lorisidae. The transcript is spliced from 3 exons.
GGGAGCUACUGGGGGUACUGGGGAAAGCAGAGAGGCGCUGCGAAGAUGGGAAAGGCGAGAGGACGCCCGGGAGGUGUCCGAGGACCCGGAAACCAGGUGCCCUUGGGAGCAGCGGUAGAUACCUAGUAAUGGGAUUGUGAGAUCAAAUGGGAAGUCUACUUUCAGUUUUUUGAAGAGUCCUUAUCCGUCUUUGCAGCCCUGCUGACACGGAAGCCCUGAGCGGUGCAGCAGUGCCCCCAGAGUGAAACAGCCAAGAAGUGGAGGAGUCAAGAGUAGAACAGGUUGCAGUCAACAGUAUUCCAG